RNAcentral lists this ribosomal RNA (389 nucleotides) under uncultured bacterium. Its description in RNAcentral is "bacterial SSU rRNA". It matches the Rfam family "Bacterial small subunit ribosomal RNA", at positions 30 to 418 of the family's 1533-position model. The record is from RNAcentral.
AUUGAACGCUGGCGGCGUGCCUAACACAUGCAAGUCGAGCGGUAACAGGUGUAGCAAUACAUGCUGACGAGCGGCGAACGGGUGAGUAAUGCUUUGGAAUCUUCCCAGUAGUGGGGAAUAACCAGUCGAAAGAUUGGCUAAUACCGCACACGUCUGUAAAAGGGAAAGCGGGGGAUCGCAAGACCUCGCGCUAUUGGAUGAGCCAAAGUCGGAUUAGCUAGUUGGGGGUAAUGGCCUACCAAGGCGACAAUCCGUAGCUGGUCUGAGAGGACGACCAGCCACACCGGAACUGAGACACGGUCCGGACUCCUACGGGAGGCAGCAGUGGGGAAUAUUGGACAAUGGGGGAAACCCUGAUCCAGCGACGCCGCGUGUGUGAAGAAGGCCUG